This is a long non-coding RNA of Eriocheir sinensis (Chinese mitten crab), 1930 nucleotides long. RefSeq lists it as uncharacterized. The record is from RefSeq and is a predicted model, not a curated record. The transcript is spliced from 3 exons. Lineage: Eukaryota; Metazoa; Arthropoda; Malacostraca; Decapoda; Varunidae.
AGGUUCAAGUGUCGAGUCAGGUGAAACGAGGGAUACCAGGUGAGAGCAAGGAUGACAGGUGUAACGAAGGAAUGAUAGGAACAAAAGCGAGAUAGGAUAGGCAAGGGAGAGAUAGCGACAGGUAGGGUUCACGUGCCGAGUCAGGUGUUCCCUCCGCGGCGGCCGUCGGGGCAGGGCUGAGCGUGAGGCAGGUGUAAGGGAGGCGCGGGUGACGUCACAGGGGUGUGCGCCGUACGGAGGUGUGAGCGUGUGGCGGCAGCGUGGCGGCGGCGGCUGGGGUGUCGAGACGCGAGAGGAACGAGUAGGUGUGUGUGAAGGGAGACAGCGGCCGCUUGUCGUGCCUGUCCUCCACCCUCGCCACAGCACACCACGCCGCCUCAUCCCCUCCCUAUUCCUUCCACGCCUCCUCCUCGUGCCCUCCUUCUCUCCUAUUUCUACCAUUUAAUUAACCGGACAGUCAACACAGAAAAAAAAACCCAUUGACAUACACCGAAAAAAGAAACAUGGAGGGCGAUCCAAUUUGCACUGAAAACAUAACUUGAAACCGAAAAAUUAAGUGAAUGCUAAAAGUUGUUUGGUGAGUGAUGCGAUAACCAGGUCGAAGGAGAAAUGUCGAGUAGUGUCCUUGUCGUCGAGUAAGUGAAGAAAAGUGUGAGAGUCGCCGCCACAGCCACAUGGACCUGAGGACCCGUUGUAAAGGAGACAGCUAACGCGGGAGGCGGCAGCAUGUACGGGGCGGUGGGCGCGGCGGUGAGGUCACACCGCAAGAAGUCGCUGAGUCGGCAGACGGCGAAGCCUCAACGCACCCCGGCCAAGAAGGGCAAGGGCCACCUCCACCUGGCCAAGACCCACGCCACACCCCAGGCGAGGUCUGCACACCCGAGGAGACUGGGCGUUGCUUAAUUCCUCGACGGCUACCUUGUGGAAGGACUCAGCCUCUUCUCCACCUCCUCUCCUGCCACCGACCACCACCACCACCACCAUCACUUCCACCACUACUACUGCUCCUCCCACUCCACACUCUUCGCCUCUUUGAACUUUUACCUCCCUCUCUGUCACUUUAGACCUUGACCAUACUAGCUGACGCACCACACUGAGUGGUAGUGACUGGUCGCCAUGGCACAGUGGUUGUGGUGGAGGGAGGCACUGUUCCUCUCUCCUUGCACGAAGUCAAAGUAGCAUUGACUGGGUGCUCCUUCCUGACUGUGACGCGUCGGCUCAGCUUAAUGGUGUUGGGUGUUUUGUGUUGACUGUGGCACCAGCAUGCAGGCCGCUCUCUACGUCCGCAAUAAGAGGAGGAGGCGUAGUAAACACAAGCAGCAGGCGCCGACAGGCAGCCUUCCGCCCCACGCCGCCACCCAGCCCAUCAAACCCUUCCCGCGCUACAACCCCAUCCAGGUGAGUGGCGCCGCUCGUCGUUAGGACCACCACGAAGGUAAGUCAACCGCCCCGCAGAGCGUACAUGAAGCAAGAUCAUGACCUUGUCUUCCCUGCUUUGAUCCCCCCCGAUCCCUAAAGAAUUAAGCAGCCUGCACAAUCUCAGUAAGGGACGAGAACCCAGAGACACACAAAGGUGGAGAGGAGUAGGGUUUGAAGACCCCCCCACACGCCUGGCCGCCAGCCUGCCGCUGCCUCUGGACGCCUCAGGGACCAACAGGUGAGUCGCGUUGAGAUCCAAACACUGUGUUGAAGCAUGCCAUGCUUGGUGGAUUUUGUCGAUGUUCCGCAGUGUUCGGUGGAAGCAAGCAAGGAAUGAUGCAUGUCGUGCCUGCUGCGACUGUCUGAUGAAUUUCACGAUUCAAAGUUGAUGAUCUUUUAGUCUUUUUUUCCGCAGAACACGAAAGGGCGGGGAUAUCUCCUGCACGAAGCAUGAGAGGUAUGCAAACCGUGUCCGCAAAAUGAGGGGAAUAAACUUUGUCCUGCACUUAAG